This 445-nucleotide ribosomal RNA is filed under the name uncultured soil bacterium. RNAcentral's name for it is "bacterial SSU rRNA". It matches the Rfam family "Bacterial small subunit ribosomal RNA", at positions 26 to 518 of the family's 1533-position model. The record is from RNAcentral.
AGAACGAACGCUGGCGGCAUGCCUAAUACAUGCAAGUCGAACGAACUCUUCGGAGUUAGUGGCGCACGGGUGCGUAACGCGUGGGAAUCUGCCCCUUGGUUCGGAAUAACAGUUGGAAACGACUGCUAAUACCGGAUGAUGACGAAAGUCCAAAGAUUUAUCGCCAAGGGAUGAGCCCGCGUAGGAUUAGCUAGUUGGUGAGGUAAAGGCUCACCAAGGCAACGAUCCUUAGCUGGUCUGAGAGGAUGAUCAGCCACACUGGGACUGAGACACGGCCCAGACUCCUACGGGAGGCAGCAGUAGGGAAUAUGGACAAUGGGCGAAAGCCUGAUCCAGCAAUGCCGCGUGAGUGAUGAAGGCCUUAGGGUUGUAAAGCUCUUUUACCCGAGAUGAUAAUGACAGUAUCGGAGAAUAAGCCCCGGAUAACCUCCGCGCCAGCAGCCGC